RNAcentral lists this ribosomal RNA (305 nucleotides) under uncultured bacterium. Its description in RNAcentral is "bacterial SSU rRNA". It matches the Rfam family "Bacterial small subunit ribosomal RNA", at positions 334 to 637 of the family's 1533-position model. The record is from RNAcentral.
UUGCCCUACGGGACGCAGCAGUGAGGAAUAUUGGUCAAUGGUCGGGAGACUGAACCAGCCAAGCCGCGUGAGGGAUGAAGGUACAGAGUAUCGUAAACCUCUUUUGUCAGGGAACAAAGGCGGGGACGCGUCCCCGGAUGAGUGUACCUGAAGAAAAAGCAUCGGCUAACUCCGUGCCAGCAGCCGCGAUAAUACGGAGGAUGCGAGCGUUAUCCGGAUUUAUUGGGUUUAAAGGGUGCGCAGGCGGUCUGUUAAGUCAGCGGGAAAAUCGCGGGGCUCAACCUCGCUCCGCCGUUGAAACUGGG